RNAcentral lists this unclassified non-coding RNA (463 nucleotides) under Melitaea cinxia (Glanville fritillary). Its description in RNAcentral is "misc RNA ENSMCXG00005019073.1". The record is from RNAcentral. Lineage: Eukaryota; Metazoa; Arthropoda; Insecta; Lepidoptera; Nymphalidae.
GGUUAAUUAACCUUAAUCAGUAAAUAAAUACGACAUUUUUUUUCUUUUUUGUGUCAUAAAAGUUAUAAGUUAAACAUGGAAGGAUCUAAGGUUAUGUUGGCUCUUCUGCUUAUUGGCUUAGUUGCCUCAACGCAUGCAGCCACUAUCUACCGUAUUUCUGUAUCUGCUUACAAAAUCUACUUAGAUCCUGAAGAUGGUUCACCGGUUAUUGAACUCAAUGCGCCUAAAUCUAAUAAUGCAGAUAAACACGAAGCUUAUGGGCCGUCAUAAACUAAUAUAAAUUAAAAAAUACGUAAGCUAGUAGUGUGUUUAUUUUUGUAAUUACGUCUUACAUUCAACAGUGUCAAUCAGCUUAAUUCAAUUUCAAAGGACAUAAUAAUUGUAUAUUAUUCGAUUUUCUGAAUGAACUUAUUUUAUUUAGUUUGGCGGUCUUAUAUUACACAUAUGUAUAUAUAUAAAUAUA